GAGUUUGAUCAUGGCUCAGGAUGAACGCUAGCGGGAGGCUUAACACAUGCAAGUCGAGGGGUAACAGGUACUUCGGUACGCUGACGACCGGCGCACGGGUGCGUAACGCGUAUGCAACCUGCCUUGUACAGGGGGAUAGCCCAUGGAAACGUGGAUUAAUACCCCAUAGCACUAUUAUGUUGCAUGACAUAUUAGUUAAAGCAUUAGCGGUACAAGAUGGGCAUGCGUAGGAUUAGUUAGUAGGUAGUGUAACGGACUACCCAGGCGAUGAUCCUUAGGGGUCCUGAGAGGGUUCCCCCCCACACUGGUACUGAGACACGGACCAGACUCCUACGAGAGGCAGCAGUGAGGAAUAUUGGUCAAUGGGCGAGAGCCUGAACCAGCCAUCCCGCGUGCAGGAUGACGGCCCUAUGGGUUGUAAACUGCUUUUCCGCGCCAAGAAUGGUCCCGACGUGUCGGGGUUUGACGGUAGCGCGGGAAUAAGCACCGGCUAACUCCGUGCCAGCAGCCGCGGUAC
This 517-nucleotide ribosomal RNA is filed under the name uncultured Bacteroidota bacterium. Its description in RNAcentral is "bacterial SSU rRNA". It matches the Rfam family "Bacterial small subunit ribosomal RNA", at positions 9 to 523 of the family's 1533-position model. Lineage: Bacteria; Pseudomonadati; Bacteroidota. The record is from RNAcentral.